GAUGAACGCUAGCGGCAGGCUUAACACAUGCAAGUCGAGGGGUAAGGUAGCAAUAUCUGAGACCGGCGCACGGGUGCGUAACGCGUAUGCAAUCUACCUUUCACAGAGGGAUAGCCCAGAGAAAUUUGGAUUAAUACCUCAUAGUAUAAUGAUUUGGCAUCAAGACAUUAUUAAAGUCACAACGGUGAAAGAUGAGCAUGCGUCCCAUUAGCUAGUUGGUAUGGUAACGGCAUACCAAGGCGACGAUGGGUAGGGGUCCUGAGAGGGAGAUCCCCCACACUGGUACUGAGACACGGACCAGACUCCUACGGGAGGCAGCAGUGAGGAAUAUUGGACAAUGGGCGCAAGCCUGAUCCAGCCAUGCCGCGUGCAGGAUGACGGUCCUAUGGAUUGUAAACUGCUUUUGCACAGGAAGAAACAACGCUACGUGUAGCGUCUUGACGGUACUGUGAGAAUAAGGAUCGGCUAACUCCG
This 474-nucleotide ribosomal RNA is filed under the name uncultured bacterium. RNAcentral describes it as "bacterial SSU rRNA". It matches the Rfam family "Bacterial small subunit ribosomal RNA", at positions 28 to 505 of the family's 1533-position model. The record is from RNAcentral.